This 261-nucleotide ribosomal RNA is filed under the name uncultured archaeon. RNAcentral's name for it is "partial 16S ribosomal RNA". It matches the Rfam family "Archaeal small subunit ribosomal RNA", at positions 748 to 1009 of the family's 1478-position model. The record is from RNAcentral.
CAGCCGUAAACUAUGCUCGCUAGGUGUCAGGCAUGGCGCGACCGUGUCUGGUGCCGCAGGGAAGCCGUGAAGCGAGCCACCUGGGAAGUACGGCCGCAAGGCUGAAACUUAAAGGAAUUGGCGGGGGAGCACAACAACGGGUGGAGCCUGCGGUUUAAUUGGACUCAACGCCGGACAACUCACCGGGGGCGACAGCAAUAUGUAGGCCAGGCUGAAGACCUUGCCUGAAUCGCUGAGAGGAGGUGCAUGGCGUAGACGUGU